RNAcentral lists this small RNA (439 nucleotides) under Cronobacter sakazakii ATCC BAA-894. RNAcentral's name for it is "cspA thermoregulator". It matches the Rfam family "cspA thermoregulator". Lineage: Bacteria; Pseudomonadati; Pseudomonadota; Gammaproteobacteria; Enterobacterales; Enterobacteriaceae. The record is from Rfam by way of RNAcentral.
AACCCGUUGUGCAGUGGUUGGUACGAGUCCUCCACUUCAGUAGUACUCAUCUCCAGACGUUAUCCUUCGAUAUCUCUUCUUUUGAGUUCCCUCUUAAGCACUGAAUAUUUCUGUCAUUCAAACCAUUUUCGCCGCAAGGCUCAAGUAUAAAGGUAUUAAAAUAUGGCUAACAGAAUGAAUGGUUCAGUGAAAUGGUUUAACGCGGAUAAAGGCUUUGGUUUUAUCGCACCGGCAGACGGCAGCAAAGACGUGUUCGUCCAUUUCUCCGCUAUCCAGAGCGAUAAUUUUCGCACACUGACCGAAGGUCAGCAGGUUGAAUUCUCGGUUGAAAACGGCGCGAAAGGCCCGUCAGCCGUGAAUGUGGUGGCGCUCUAAAGACAACAUGAUUGCAGCAGGUUUGCAUUUCAGAUGCCCUGCGUGUCAUGGCUCGCAGUAUCGU